Gavialis gangeticus (Gharial) is the source of this 327-nucleotide long non-coding RNA. RefSeq lists it as uncharacterized. The record is from RefSeq and is a predicted model, not a curated record. The transcript is spliced from 2 exons. Lineage: Eukaryota; Metazoa; Chordata; Crocodylia; Gavialidae.
UGCCAAAUCCUGGCCCUCCAUUUGCUCCUCACUUCCAGGUGGUAAAUGUCCUCAGGCAUUAGGCCUUUUCAGACUACCACUAAUGACUUAAUACCAAAUUACCUGCAGUCAGCCCAGCCCAGCUGGAACUGGACACCCAGUCCUUCCACCUAUGGAGUCAAAGGCACCUGAAUCAGCCUGUUCAGUCAUUUCUGCCAGAAGCUGCCACUUUUCCUGAUCGACAUCUGAGAUUCCUUAUAUGCUGAAGCAUCAUCGGAAUGCUCUCGCCUGCAUCCGUCGGGGAGAAAAACCCUCCAUAGAGCAGUAAAAACUUAGCCCAAUGCUAUA